Molecule: ribosomal RNA, 398 nt
Filed under: uncultured bacterium
Lineage: Bacteria
Description: bacterial SSU rRNA
Rfam family: Bacterial small subunit ribosomal RNA
Source: RNAcentral
GGAAUAUUGGACAAUGGGGGAAACCCUGAUCCAGCAAUGCCGCGUGAGUGAUGAAGGCCUUAGGGUCGUAAAGCUCUUUUACCCGGGAUGAUAAUGACAGUACCGGGAGAAUAAGCCCCGGCUAACUCCGUGCCAGCAGCCGCGGUAAUACGGGGGGGGUAAGCGUUGUUCGGAAUUACUGGGCGUAAAGGGCUCGUAGGCGGCCAACUAAGUCAUACGUGAAAUCCCUCAGCUUAACUGGGGAACUGCGUGUGAUACUGGAUGGCUUGGAUUUGGGAGAGGGAUGCGGAAUUCCAGGUGUAGCGGUGAAAUGCGUAGAUAUCUGGAGGAACACCGGUGGCGAAGGCGGCAUCCUGGACCAACAUUGACGCUGAGGAGCGAAAGCCAGGGGAGCAAAC